This 74-nucleotide transfer RNA is filed under the name Opitutaceae bacterium. Its description in RNAcentral is "tRNA-Gln". It matches the Rfam family "tRNA". From Rfam's summary of the family: Transfer RNA (tRNA) molecules are approximately 80 nucleotides in length. Their secondary structure includes four short double-helical elements and three loops (D, anti-codon, and T loops). Lineage: Bacteria; Pseudomonadati; Verrucomicrobiota; Opitutia; Opitutales; Opitutaceae. The record is from RNAcentral.
UGGGGAUUGGCGUAACAGGAGCGCGGCGGUUUCUGAAACCGCAGACGAAGGGGCGGCACCUUCAUCCCCAACCA